Molecule: ribosomal RNA, 253 nt
Filed under: uncultured bacterium
Lineage: Bacteria
Description: partial 16S ribosomal RNA
Rfam family: Bacterial small subunit ribosomal RNA
Source: RNAcentral
UACGGAGGGUGCAAGCGUUAUCCGGAUUCACUGGGUUUAAAGGGUGCGUAGGUGGGUUGGUAAGUCAGUGGUGAAAUCUCCAGGCUUAACUUGGAAACUGCCAUUGAUACUAUCAAUCUUGAAUACCGUGGAGGUCAGCGGAAUAUGUCAUGUAGCGGUGAAAUGCUUAGAUAUGACAUAGAACACCAAUUGCGAAGGCAGCUCACUACGGGAUCAUUGACACUGAGGCACGAAAGCGUGGGGAUCAAACAGG